ACAUUACUCUCUAUACUCCACUUGUGGGAUCCCACUAGGUUGUUGUUGUUGCUGUUUAUAAUGAUUAAGAGUAAGCUUAUGCCACAUUCAAUUUUACUGUUUAUGAGUACAAGGAAUUCAGAACAAACUACUGAAAAGGAUAGCUCUUUUUCACUUUUCGAAGAAUACAUACUUAUAAUAUCCUAUAUGAAGCUUGAAACCACUAUUCUAAG
This 212-nucleotide long non-coding RNA is filed under the name Nicotiana benthamiana. Its description in RNAcentral is "long non-coding RNA (NBEN_LNC016276)". Lineage: Eukaryota; Viridiplantae; Streptophyta; Magnoliopsida; Solanales; Solanaceae. The record is from RNAcentral.